This 653-nucleotide ribosomal RNA is filed under the name uncultured Mycoplasma sp. Its description in RNAcentral is "bacterial SSU rRNA". It matches the Rfam family "Bacterial small subunit ribosomal RNA", at positions 89 to 730 of the family's 1533-position model. The record is from RNAcentral. Lineage: Bacteria; Bacillati; Mycoplasmatota; Mollicutes; Mycoplasmatales; Mycoplasmataceae.
UGCUUAGCGGCGAAUGGGUGAGUAACACGUACUUAACCUACCCCCAAGAUUGGAACAACACCUGGAAACGGGUGCUAAUACCGAAUACGUAUUUUUUAUCGCAUGAUAGAAAUAUAAAAGGAGCUUCGGCUUCACUAGGGGAUGGGAGUGCGCUACAUUAGUUAGUUGGUAGGGUAAUGGCCUACCAAGACUAUGAUGUAUAGCGGGGCCGAGAGGCUGAUCCGCCACACUGGGACUGAGAUACGGCCCAGACUCCUACGGGAGGCAGCAGUAGGGAAUUUUCCACAAUGAACGAAAGUUUGAUGGAGCGACACAGCGUGCAGGAUGAAGGUCUUCGGAUCGUAAACUGCUGUUAUAAGAGAAGAAAAACCCCGGGAGGUAAUGCCCGGGACUUGACGGUACCUUAUCAGAAAGCGACGGCUAACUAUGUGCCAGCAGCCGCGGUAAUACAUAGGUCGCAAGCGUUAUCCGGAAUUAUUGGGCGUAAAGAGUUCGUAGGUGGUCUUGUAAGUCUGAAGUUAAAGCCCGGGGCUCAACCCCGGCCCGCUUUGGAUACUGCAAGACUAGAGUAAUAGAGAGGUUAGUGGAACUCCAAGUGAAGCGGUGGAAUGCGUAGAUAUUUGGAAGAACACCAAUGGCGAAGGCAACUAACU